UGAACUAUGCAUAUGAAUAGCUUAUCGAAAGUGAUGUGAAUAUAACCUAUAUGAUGUGUUAAUGUGAAUAUAACCUAUACAUAUCAUAGUUCACCGGGGAAUAAUAGAGAUUAGUGAACCUGAACUAUGCAUAUGAAUAGCUUAUCGAAAGUGAUGUGAAUAUAACCUAUAUGAUGUGUUAAUGUGAAUAUAACCUAUACAUAUCAUAGUUCACCGGGGAAUAAUAGAGAUUAGUGAACCUGAACUAUGCAUAUGAAUAGCUUAUCGAAAGUGAUGGUGAAUUCCUUUCUUGUAAUUAAGUUCCUAGAGUAGAUGAAACAUAAACUAUACCUAUUAUAGUUUAUUACAUUGUUUGUAAUAUGUAUUUACCAUAACUAUACCAAUUAUAACUAAUGAGUUCGUUUGUGGGGGUAUAAUGGCUUAACUAUACUUAUUAUAGAUUAUCUUAAUCGUCCAUAGCGGCAAUAACUCUUAUGUAAGUGUAAGACCUUUAAUAUUGUGUUUGUUAUAUGAAUGACCCUAAACUAUACCUAUUAUAGUUUAUCGAUUGAUUUCGUGGGAAAUGAGCAUAGGCCUUACUUGUCAUAAUUUAUCAAUAUUUAUAUUUUAAUGGAUAUAGCCUCGUAGUAUCGUAUAUAUAUAUAUAUAUAUUUGUCAUACUUGUGAAGAUGUAAAUCCAUGUGUUUUCUGAUGUAUGUCUAUGUAGGAAUACAAAAUUUGUCAUAUAUUGCAACUACACAUAAUCAACUAACGAUGUAUACCUUGCUCGACAUGUUACAAGGUGAAAUGAAAUUUAUUGUGUUUUUCUGUUAAUAACCUUUUCUGUAACUGAUAUUGGAAAAAUUGUAGAAAAAUCAUAAAAUGUCCAAAUCAGGUUCUGUAACUUCUGGGAGUUUGGAAAAUGAGUCUAGUUUGUUCAUAAUUUUUAUUAUAAUUUUUAAUGAUCUCUAACUUGGGUGAAAAAGUCCAUAAUCACAGACUGGUCCGGAUUGAUGUUAGAAAUGAUAGGCGGUUUUGUAAAAAUCACCAUAAAUUGUAGAAAAAUCGUAUGGAGAUGUGCAAGUAGUCAUUUUAAAGCUAAGAAGUGGAACUACAUGCACCUAAAACAGUUUUGAAAACAAAAAUAUUUAAGAUGUCCAAAACAGUCCGUGAAUGGAGUGAAACUUUUCUGAUGAAAGCUGUUAGAAAAAUGUAGUUAUGUUCUAAGCAUUUUAACUUGUAUUCCCCCCCUAAAAACUUGAGAAAACGUGAAAAAUGUAGGGGUAUGAACUCACCUUGUAUGAUUUUAGUAGAUAAGUGUUGAAGAAGGGAAGUGUUCAACCCAAGAACACUAGGAGAACCGUUUGAAGAUUCGAAGCUCUAACACAAAUAUAAUGAAGUUUGUGUAAGAUAUCCAUGAUUUGAGUGGAAAUAAUAGAGGUAAUCAUAAAGGAAAUGGAUUAUGCUUACCAAAGGUGGAGGAAACUCUCAAGAUCAGCCCUUGAAUCUUGGAUUUCUAGAGAGAGAAAGUGAGAGAGAAAGGAGUUUGAUCUUCUUGUGAAAUGAGAACAAAUGAAAGAAAAAUGAGGAGAGAGGAUGAUUAUCCAGCCCUCAAAGCAUGGAGGUGGCUUGUGAGGGAGGUAAAAAGUACAAGGUAUGGUGGGGAGGAGUGUGGGUUGUCAUGGAGUGGGUGAGGGGGUUGCUUGCGUCAUAACUAAGGUAAGGUCAACACUUCUUCUUUUUGUACUUUACCAACUCCUUUUUAAAUAAGAUUUUACCCUUAAAAUGUGAUUAAAUCAUUAAUUUAGGGGUCUUAUAAUUAAAAAUAAAGUUUUGGGUGAAAAUCCCAUGUUAAAAUAAUUAAAAAUGGGUUUAAAAUGCAAAAAUAUGCAAAAACGGGCGAAAAAUGUAAUUUCCAGCAAGUUUCUUCGGACCUAGGCCGAGGCUCGGUCCCUAGGCCGAAGUCUGGUCAGGCGGCGCUUGGGUUCGGACGCGGAUGGCUGGUCUCGGAAGCGAAGGCGCGAGCCAGAAGAAGGGGCGAGGCGAGGGUCUGGUCCGAGGCGAUGCAGUCCGAAGCGAAGUGGGAAGCGAAAGCAGGUUCGGUCCGAGGCAGCUAUCCGACGCGAAGGUAGAGUUCGGUCCGAAGGGUGGCUAGAACCGAAGCUACUGUUGUGAACAGUAGUGAACAGUAACUUCGGUUCGGACCUUCCUUCCAUGUGAGGUUCGGUUCGGACCUUUCUUCUUAGCAGGGUUCGGUUCGGAUCUCUUUCAUGGCCGGGUUCGGUUCGGAUGAACAGUACUUUCGGUUCAGCUCAUGAACAGUACUUUCGGUUCGGACCCUCAUGAAUAGUGCUUUCGGUUCGGUUCGUGAAUAGUACUUUCGGUUCGGAGGGUUCGUUCCCUUAAGUCCGUUUUUCGCGUAGACUUCCGUUCUUGGGCUAUUUUCGCCAAAUUCGAGGGUCGGGAUGCCCCGAGUGAUUAUAGAAAGUUGGGAGAGAUUUCGAGAGAGAUUUGAGAGAGAUUCCUCGUUCUCAGAGAGAUUUGGGAGAGAUUUGACGUACUUGGAGAGAUUUCGCAUACGAAGAGAUACGUGAGAGAGAUUUCACAUACUUAGAGAGAUUUGGGAGAGAUUUGACAUACUUGGAGAGAUUUCACAUACAAAGAGAUAUGUGAGAGAGAUUUCACAUACUUAGAGAGAUUU
RNAcentral lists this long non-coding RNA (2680 nucleotides) under Lactuca sativa (garden lettuce). Its description in RNAcentral is "long non-coding RNA (LSAT_LNC001667)". The record is from RNAcentral. Lineage: Eukaryota; Viridiplantae; Streptophyta; Magnoliopsida; Asterales; Asteraceae.